This 4497-nucleotide transfer RNA is filed under the name Homo sapiens (human). Its description in RNAcentral is "HSALNT0102955". The stretch from base 3812 to 3884 matches the Rfam family "tRNA". Lineage: Eukaryota; Metazoa; Chordata; Mammalia; Primates; Hominidae. The record is from RNAcentral.
GAUUCAUUCAUCAGAUAUUAAUUCAGAAUCCCUUUUGUGCCUUCCAGAAAUCUGGACCAUCUCACAACCCCCAGAGAGUCUCAGCUACAAGGAACAAGUGAUAAUGCCAUCCCACUUUUAUAAACACACACACACACACAUGCAAUACACACACAAUCAUUUAAUCAUUUUUAAUUAUUUAAUUAUUUUUUAAAAAUCAGUGACACUUUAGCUGGGCAGGUCUAGAUAGGUCUUCUUUGCUGGGACGUGUCUUUUUCUGUCCUGGAAUACCCUAAACUUCACAUUUUGGCAGCGUGAGUUUUCCCUUUGUGACUUUCUCCUUCUUCCCUUUUUUCCUCCUUCUUUGCAGAGAAUGAGUAGCCACUGCACCUUGCCCUGCGCCAUCAAUGAGAAGAUCUGCUCUUAGUAGAGCCCUGCUUUCCCGCUGAAGGCCCUGAAAUCACCUGUGUUCCAGGCCACCCACUAAGGAUAAACAAAGCUUCCCUGAUAUGGGGAAUUAGCUCAAGUGGUAGAGCGCUUGCUUAGCAUGCAAGAGGUAGUGGGAUCAAUGCCCACAUUCUCCAAGCUUUAUUAUUUAGGUACCCAAACCCGAGUCAGUGUCUGAGAGCAAGACACUGCUCUCGGUGUCUUUGGUUCAAGACAUAGGAGCAGCAACAAUACAGGACUGGUGACAGCUUCCUGCUGGCAUUCAGUAUAGUGUAGAUCUACUGUGUAAUUAAUUUUCUGUUUCUUCGAGGAGCUGUGAAACCAAAGGACAUAUAAAACUGCUCUUUUCUCCCUGUUUCUGCCUGCAGCUUGGUCCUAAAUGUGAGACAAUUGUGAAAAGUGGAGGACAGAGCCACCUGGUUAAAUACAGCCCCAGCUUUCUGGUGAGAGGACUGAAACCAAGAUGUGUCAAGUAACUAGAAUGUGCCUGGACAGAUACUGUAGAAAGCAAAACCAUAAAGUUGUUCAUGAGCUUGUGGACGCACCUGCCAGCUGUGAAUAAGUGGCUCUAAUCCCGAACAACUUACCUAAAAAGAGCCUGAGAGCUGAACUGUGCAAUGGCCCACUUUCCAGUCCUCACUGACCACUGGGUUGCACACACUUUGGAGAUCUCUGAACAGCAGUGUCAAGGCUUUCAAAUAGAGUUAUCUUUGAAACGACAACACAUGAAAGUCUGGUUGGUACUUGGAGCUUAAAUACAAGGCAAUUGUGUGCCUGCAAAAACAAAAAUAGCAAUAUUAUCCUUAAGAUUUCAACAAGACACAGUGUCUCAUCACAUAAUCCAAAGAAGUCCAGGUUACAAGCCCCACAAUAUUCAGCAUUAUGAAAAAACAGGGAGAUCUUAAUUCACAUGGCAAAGAGAAUCCUCGAAUAACAAUAUUGAGAGGACACAGAUGUCAAAAUCAUCUGACACAUACAUUAAAGCAGAUAUUAUAACAAUGCUCCUAGAAUCGGGGAUAACAUUCGUGAAGUGAAUGGAAAGUUGGAAAGUCUCACCAAAUAUUUCGAAUACAUAAACACCAAUUUAAACUUAAGAAUUAAAAAAAUGUAUUAACCAAAACUCUUAGGGGAAAUAAAAAGCUUAAUUGGAGGAUCUCCAUAAUCGAAUGCAGAAGACUAAGGAAAAAGUCAAUGAACUUGAAAACAGAACACGAAUACCUACAUAAUCUGAACUAUAGAGAGAAAGGAGGAUUUUAUUGUCUCUGAACAGAGGCUCAGGCACAAAUAAAAAAUAACAAAUCCAACAUUCACAUUAUUGUAAUCUGGAAAGAAGAGGACAAAGUGGUCUUUGUGGGAUAAAACUUUGAACAAUUAAUAGCUGAAAAUGGUUCAAAUUUGUCAAAAGAUAUAAACCAGAUUUUUAAAGUUCAGUAAAUGUCAAUCAGGAUAAACCCAAAGAAACCCAUAGCAAGGCAUAUCAUAAUCAAACUGCUGAAAACUAAGAAAAUACAAAACAAUUUUGAAAGCAGCCAAAGGGAAAUGAAAGAGAAACUACCAAAUGAAUGAUUGUAGAUUUCGCAUCAGGAACCAUAGGGGCCAGAAAAAAUGUCAUAACAUUCGGAGACUACGGAAAAGAAGAGUGACUAAGAUCUCUGAAGAAGGGAAAAGCUAGAUGACUGGGCCACAAGAGGAAAAAAAGCAGCAAGACAGCUUGAAUGUGAGGCAACUGUGAAAAGUGCAGGGCAGAGCCACCUGGGUAAAUACAGCCCUGGCUUUCUGGUGAGAGGACUGAAACCAGGAUGUGUCAAGUAACUAGAAUGUGCCUGGACAGAUACUGUAGAAAGCAAACCCAUAAAGUUGUUCAUGAGCUUGUGGACGCACCUGCCAGCUGUGAAUAAGUGGGUCUAAUCCCAAACAACUUACCUAAAAAGAGCCUGAGGACUGAACUAAACAAUGGUCCACUUUCCAGUCCUCACUGACCACUGGUUGCACACACUCCAGAGAUCUCUCAUCCGCAGUGUCAAGGCUUUCAAAUAGAGUUAUCUGUGAAACAACAACACAUGGAAGUCUGGUUGGUACUUGGAGCUUAAAUACAAGGCAAUUGUGUGCCUGCAAAAACAAAAAGAGCAAUAUUAUCCUUAAGAUUUCAACAAGACACAGUGUCUCAUCACAUAAUCCAAAGAAGUCCAGGUUACAAGCCCCAAAAUAUUCAGCAUUAUGAAAAACCAGGGAGAUCUUAAUUCACAUGGCAAAGAGAAUCCUUGCAUAACAAUAUUGAGAGGACACAUAUGUCAAAAUCAUCUGACACAUACAUUAAAGCAGUUAUUAUAACAAUGCUCCUAGAAUUACGGGAUAGCAUUCAUGAAGUGAAUGGAAAGUUGGAAAGUCUCACCAAAUAUUUGGAAUAUGUAAACACCAAUUUAAACUUAAGAAUUAAAAAAAGUAUUAACCAAAACUAUUAGGGGAAAUAAAAAGCUUAAUUGGAUGAUCUCAAUAGCAGUAUGCAGAAGACUAAGGAAAAAGUCAAUGAACUUGAAAACGGAACAAGAAUACCUACAGAAUCUGACCUAUAGAAAGAAAGGAGGAUUUUAUUGUCCCUGAACAGAGGCUCAGGGACAAAUAAAAAAUAACAAAUCUAACAUUCACAUUAUUGUAAUCUGGAAACAUUCACAUUAUUGUAAGAGGACAAAGAGGUCUUUGUGGGAUAAAACUGUGAAGAAUUAAUGGCUGAAAAUGUAUCAAAUUUCUCAAAAGAUAUAAACCAGAUUUUUAAAGUUCAGUAAAUGUCAAGCAGGAUAAACCAAAAGAAACCCAUUGCAAGACAUAUCAUAAUCAAACUGCGGAAAAUUAAGAAAACACAAAACAAUUUUGAAAGCAGCCAAAGGGAAAUGAAAGAUAAAAUACCAAAUGAAUGAUUGUAGAUUUCUCAUCGGGAACCCAGGAGCCAGAAAAAAAUGUCAUAACAUUCAGUAAAUACCAAAGGAAAAAUACAUUAUCAACCCAGAAUGGUAUGUGGAGCAAAAGUAUCUUCCAGACAUAAAGGCAAAUAAAUGCAUUCUCAUUGGAAGGUAAAUAAAUACAUUCUCAGUCCUAGCAAAACUGCUGGAAAAGAAUUAGCAAAGGUUUGAGAUAAGAAAAGUGAUACCAGAAGGAAACUUAGAACAUCAUCAAUGAAGGAACAAAAGCAGAAAUAGAAAAUGUCUGGGUAGACAUAACAGACUAUUAUUCUUCUCUUGAGUUCCUUAAGACAAUGAGUAGCCACUGCUGUUUGCCCUGGCCCAUCAAUGAGAAGAUCUGCUCUUAGAGCCCUGCUUUCCUGCUGAAGGCCCUGAAAUCACCUGUGUUCCAGGCCACCUGCUAACAAUAAAUAAUGCUGCCCUGAUGUGGGGAAUUAGCUCAAGUGGUAGAGCGCUUGCUUAGCACGCAAGAGGUAGUGGGAUCGAUGCCCACAUUCUCCAAGCUUUAUUAUUUAGACAUCGUGUCUCCAAACACUCAGGUCUCCAAACCCAAGUUAGUGUCUGAGAACAGGAUGCUGCUUUGGUUCAAGACGUAGGAGCAGCAAUAAUAGAGGGCUGGUGAUGGCUCCCUCUUGGCAUUCAGUAUAGUGUAGAUCUACCAUGUAAUUAAUUCUCUGUUUCUUUGAGGAGCUGUGAAACCAAGGGACAUAUACAACUGCUCUUUUCUCCCUGUUUCUACCUGCAGCUUUGUCCUAAAUGUGAGACAAUUAUGAAAAGUGCAGCGCAGAGCCACUUGGGUAAAUACAGCCCCGGCUUUCUGCUCAGGGGACAGAGUUUGAGGCACUGCAGAGGAACCGGCCAAAGUAUGAGACCCAUAUAUUGAGAGUAACAGAGUGUAAAGUUCAAAAAAAUCAAAAUAUUUAAAGAUUUAUCAUGGGUCUUGAUGACAUGAUGGAAUCUCUCUACUCUCUGGACUUAUUAUGUGUGGUAAUAAAUUUACUUUUUAAAAGCCAGUUGAGUGUUUUUAAUGUUGUGGAGCUAUUGCUAAGAGUUUCCUGAGUUUUUUCCAGUAAUGUAGAGAUCUUUGUGCUAAAUAUUUCAUAAAGAAGUUUGG